GACGAACGCUGGCGGCGUGCUUAACACAUGCAAGUCGAACGGAAAGGCCCUGCUUUUGUGGGGUGCUCGAGUGGCGAACGGGUGAGUAACACGUGAGUAACCUGCCCUUGACUUUGGGAUAACUUCAGGAAACUGGGGCUAAUACCGGAUAGGAGCUCCUGCUGCAUGGUGGGGGUUGGAAAGUUUCGGCGGUUGGGGAUGGACUCGCGGCUUAUCAGCUUGUUGGUGGGGUAGUGGCUUACCAAGGCUUUGACGGGUAGCCGGCCUGAGAGGGUGACCGGCCACAUUGGGCCUGCGCUACGGCCCAGACUCCUACGGGAGGCAGCAGUGGGGAAUAUUGCACAAUGGGCGGACGCCUGAUGCAGCAACGCCGCGUGCGGGAUGCCGGCCUUCGGGUUGUAAACCGCUUUCGCCUGUGACGAAGCGUGAGUGACGGUAAUGGGUAAAGAAGCACCGGCUAACUACGUG
This 468-nucleotide ribosomal RNA is filed under the name uncultured bacterium. Its description in RNAcentral is "partial 16S ribosomal RNA". It matches the Rfam family "Bacterial small subunit ribosomal RNA", at positions 28 to 507 of the family's 1533-position model. The record is from RNAcentral.